Molecule: ribosomal RNA, 414 nt
Filed under: Triticum aestivum (bread wheat)
Lineage: Eukaryota; Viridiplantae; Streptophyta; Magnoliopsida; Poales; Poaceae
Description: partial small subunit ribosomal RNA
Source: RNAcentral
AUGACCGUGACGCUGCAGGAUAUUGCUAUGAUCACCGGUCUUCCUAUCGAUGGCAAUCCUUUAUGUAUGAACACCGAUUCUGAUGGGUGGCGCGCGCAGAUGCAAGCCCUUAUCGGUAUGGUUUCUCCGGAGCCUCGGGAACCAGAAGCAGAAGAUAAGAAGAAGGAAAGAGUCGCAGCGGGCGCUACUUUCACGUGGAUAUCAUCGAACUUCUGUCAUUGCCCUGAUGAUGCUAAUGAGGACAUGGUGAAGACAUAUGCUCGUGUCUACAUGUGGUACGUGAUAUCCAGGACAAUGUUUGCUGAUGGCACAGGCAAGAAUGCUCCAUGGAUGUGGCUGAAGGCGUUGACCGUCUUUGAUAGCAAAUGGAGUUGGGGUUCGGCGACACUGGCUUACUUGUAUCGACAGGUAUGA